UGACACAAAGAGGUAGUGACAAUAAAUAACAAUGCCGGGCUCUUGUAGUCUGGCAAUUGGAAUGAGAACAAUUUAAAUCCCUUAUCGAGGAUCAAUUGGAGGGCAAGUCUGGUGCCAGCAGCCGCGGUAAUUCCAGCUCCAAUAGCGUAUAUUUUAGUUGUUGCAGUUAAAAAGCUCGUAGUCGAAUUUCUGGUUGAGGGAUGCGGUCCGACCUUUGGUGGGUACUUGUACUCCCUGACCAUCUUUGGGUGGAGCCAGUCUGGCAUUAAGUUGUCGGGUUGGGGAUGCCCAUCGUUUACUGUGAAAAAAUUAGAGUGUUCAAAGCAGACUUAUGUCGUUGAAUAUAUUAGCAUGGAAUAAUAAAAUAGGACCGCAGUGCUAUUUUGUUGGUUUGCGCACCGUGGUAAUGAUGAAUAGGGACAGUUGUGUGCAUUCGUAUUCACUUGUAAGAGGUGAAAUUCUUAGAUUAAGGGAAGACGAACUACUGCGAAAGCAUUUGCAAAGGAUGUUUUCAUUGAUCAAGAACGAAAGUGUGGGGAUCGAAGAUGAUUAGAUACCGUCGUAGUCUACACCAUAAACUAUGCCGACUCAGGAUGGGCAAGGAACUUUAUACCUUGUCUGCACUGUAUGUGAAAACAAAGUCUUUGGGUUCCGGGGGGAGUAUGGUCGCAAGGCUGAAACUUAAAGAAAUUGACGGAAGGGCACCACCAGGAGUGGAGCCUG
RNAcentral lists this ribosomal RNA (723 nucleotides) under uncultured marine eukaryote. RNAcentral's name for it is "bacterial SSU rRNA". It matches the Rfam family "Eukaryotic small subunit ribosomal RNA", at positions 452 to 1185 of the family's 1831-position model. The record is from RNAcentral.